Molecule: ribosomal RNA, 253 nt
Filed under: uncultured bacterium
Lineage: Bacteria
Description: partial 16S ribosomal RNA
Rfam family: Bacterial small subunit ribosomal RNA
Source: RNAcentral
UACGUAGGGUGCAAGCAUUAAUCGGAAUUAUUGGGCGUAAAGGGCGCGUAGGCGGUUCUGCACGUCCGUUGUGAAAUCGCCCGGCUCAACUGGGCGGGGUCAGCGGAUACGGCGGAGCUUGAGCAAGCUAGGGGGCAAUGGAAUUCCCGGUGUAGUGGUGGAAUGCGUAGAUAUCGGGAGGAACACCAGUGGCGAAGGCGGUUGCCUGGGGCUUUGCUGACGCUGAGGCGCGAAAGCGUGGGGAGCGAGCCGG